UACGGGGGGGGCAGGCGUUGUUCGGAAUUACUGGGCGUAAAGGGCUCGUAGGUGGCCAACUAAGUCGGACGUGAAAUCCCUCGGCUUAACCGGGGAACUGCGUCUGAUACUGGAUGGCUUGAGUUCGGGAGAGGGAUGCGGAAUUCCAGGUGUAGCGGUGAAAUGCGUAGAUAUCUGGAGGAACACCGGUGGCGAAGGCGGCAUCCUGGACCGACACUGACGCUGAGGAGCGAAAGCCAGGGGAGCAAACGGG
RNAcentral lists this ribosomal RNA (253 nucleotides) under uncultured bacterium. RNAcentral's name for it is "partial 16S ribosomal RNA". It matches the Rfam family "Bacterial small subunit ribosomal RNA", at positions 524 to 776 of the family's 1533-position model. The record is from RNAcentral.